This 253-nucleotide ribosomal RNA is filed under the name uncultured bacterium. RNAcentral describes it as "partial 16S ribosomal RNA". It matches the Rfam family "Bacterial small subunit ribosomal RNA", at positions 524 to 776 of the family's 1533-position model. The record is from RNAcentral.
UACGGAGGGGGCAAGCGUUGUUCGGAAUUACUGGGCGUAAAGGGUUCGUAGGUGGCCAACUAAGUCAGACGUGAAAUCCCUCAGCUUAACUGGGGAACUGCGUCUGAUACUGGUUGGCUUGAGUGCAGGAGAGGAACGCGGAAUUCCAGGUGUAGCGGUGAAAUGCGUAGAUAUCUGGAGGAACACCGGUGGCGAGGGCGGCGUUCUGGACUGCAACUGACACUGAGGAACGAAAGCCAGGGGAGCAAACGGG